Molecule: ribosomal RNA, 306 nt
Filed under: Rhodococcus ruber
Lineage: Bacteria; Bacillati; Actinomycetota; Actinomycetes; Mycobacteriales; Nocardiaceae
Description: bacterial SSU rRNA
Rfam family: Bacterial small subunit ribosomal RNA
Source: RNAcentral
AAGGUGGGCGCAUAGGUGUGGGUUUCCUUCCCGGNAUCCGUGCCGUAGCUAACGCAUUAAGCGCCCCGCCUGGGGAGUACGGCCGCAAGGCUAAAACUCAAAGGAAUUGACGGGGGCCCGCACAAGCGGCGGAGCAUGUGGANUAAUUCGAUGCAACGCGAAGAACCUUACCUGGGUUUGACAUACACCGGACCGCCCCAGAGAUGGGGUUUCCCUUGUGGUCGGUGUACAGGUGGUGCAUGGCUGUCGUCAGCUCGUGUCGUGAGACGUUGGGUUAAGCCCCGCACCGAGCGCANCCCCNNCCCC